RNAcentral lists this ribosomal RNA (185 nucleotides) under uncultured bacterium. Its description in RNAcentral is "partial 16S ribosomal RNA". It matches the Rfam family "Bacterial small subunit ribosomal RNA", at positions 1316 to 1500 of the family's 1533-position model. The record is from RNAcentral.
CUGCAUGAAGCCGGAAUCGCUAGUAAUCGCGGAUCAGAACGCCGCGGUGAAUACGUUCCCGGGUCUUGUACACACCGCCCGUCACACCAUGGGAGUCGGGAACGCCCGAAGUCGGUGCCCCAACCGUAAGGAGGGAGCCGCCGAAGGCGGGCCCGGCGACUGGGGUGAAGUCGUAACAAGGUAUC